CAAGCCUGAUCCAGCAAUACCGCGUGUGUGAAGAAGGCCCUAGGGUUGUAAAGCACUUUCAAUUGGGAGGAAAACCUGCCGGUCAAUACCCGGUAGCUUGACAUUACCUUUAGAAGAAGCACCGGCUAACUCCGUGCCAGCAGCCGCGGUAAUACGGAGGGUGCAAGCGUUAAUCGGAAUUACUGGGCGUAAAGCGUGCGUAGGCGGUUCGUUAAGUCAGAUGUGAAAGCCCCGGGCUUAACCUGGGAACUGCAUUUGAAACUGGCGGACUAGAGUUGAGUAGAGGGGAGUGGAAUUUCAGGUGUAGCGGUGAAAUGCGUAGAUAUCUGAAGGAACACCAGUGGCGAAGGCGACUCCCUGGACUCAAACUGACGCUGAGGUACGAAAGCGUGGGUAGCAAACAGGAUUAGAUACCCUGGUAGUCCACGCUGUAAACGAUGUCAACUAGCCGUUGGUUCUAUUUACAGAAUUAGUGGCGCAGCUAACGCAUUAAGUUGACCGCCUGG
Molecule: ribosomal RNA, 506 nt
Filed under: uncultured bacterium
Lineage: Bacteria
Description: bacterial SSU rRNA
Rfam family: Bacterial small subunit ribosomal RNA
Source: RNAcentral